Molecule: long non-coding RNA, 686 nt
Organism: Callithrix jacchus (white-tufted-ear marmoset)
Lineage: Eukaryota; Metazoa; Chordata; Mammalia; Primates; Cebidae
Source: RefSeq, a predicted model, not a curated record
UUGCACCACUACACUCCAACCUGGGCAACAGAGUGAGACUCCUCAAAAAAAUAAAUAAAUAAAGCCCAUAUUUCUUAAAAAAAAAAAAAAAAGACUCGAAGCAAAGAGAGGAAAUUGUUGGCAAUGGCUAGUCCUGAGCGGUGGGUACCAUGUGUUUGCUACAUUGUUCUGUGUACAUUUCUGAAUACCAGCAUUUUCUUCAGGGGUAGGGGAGGGGAUACUGUAAACAAACUAAGGAACUCUGGUGUGAUAAGUGCUGCUGUGUCCUAGGAAGACUUCCUGGGAGAAAUGGAAAGCAGCUGUUCCCACUUCUGUUGACUGAAAAUAGAAGUCAUUAAGCCACCCAACAGCAAGCCACUGCAUCCGCCUAGAACCUGGCCCGGACCUGAGCGGCCACCGGGGCACCUCCACCUCCUCCCUCCUUAGUCCCUUUAUUCAUAUUCAGUGAGCCCAGCCGGAAGCAGGGGCCUGGCACUCUAGACAAUUCCACGGAGAAGCAGCUCUGGAAUCCAGCACUGACACAGCCAUUGCUGCUGACCAUUUGUUUCCGGCCCCAGCAAUUGUCACAAGGGCUGCCUGCCUGAGUCACUAACAGGAAAGGGCUGAGAAAGAAGCAUUGCCAAUGGUUUCACUUAACUGCUUUUUAUUCUUUCCUCAAAGAGGAGGAAGUCGACCAUUUAAACAGG